UUGGGUAGGUUAAGUACCUUGACUCAGGUGU
This 31-nucleotide non-coding RNA is filed under the name Homo sapiens (human). Lineage: Eukaryota; Metazoa; Chordata; Mammalia; Primates; Hominidae. The record is from RNAcentral.